Long non-coding RNA from Homo sapiens (human), 1775 nucleotides. The record is from Ensembl. NCBI's taxonomy places the organism in Eukaryota, Metazoa, Chordata, Mammalia, Primates, Hominidae.
GAGGCAGCAUGCUGGUCCCUCAGCAGCAUCCUUAUCACGUCAGCUGUGAGAGAAAUAAAACUGUGAGACUGUGAAGUGUAUAAAGGAUUCUACCGCUCUCCCGGGGCUUGGAGACCCACAGAUUGGAGAAAGUAAUCUCCAUCUCAAUCUUCUUUGCCACGUCAUGCAUGCCCUUGAAGCAUUAGAAUUCCUUAAAGCUUCAUGGGAGAAUGCCAUGGGAUGAUGAAGACAGAGAUUGGAGUCAUGCAUCUGCAAGCCAAGAAAUGUACAAGAUUGCUGGCAAACCACCAGAAGCUAGGAGCAGACAAGGAAGGAUCCUCCCCUAAAGGUUUCAGAGGGAGCCAUGGCCUUGCUGACAUCUUGAUUUCAGACUUCUAUCCUCCAGAAUGGGGCCAUCCAUGGAGGGCUGGAUGGUGUCCUCACUCUCCCAUCACACAGCUCUUCUGAUGAUGUUUUUGCUUGUCUUUCUGGAAGUUCGCUCUGAUCCAAAAUUACAUCUGCAAGGGGCAGCUGAAGUCCAUCAGUUCUGUGAAGUCUUCUGGGAGUUGCCUCAGCCUAGAGAUCUCUUCCUCCAUUUCUCCAAAUAUUUCAGUUAGCUCUAAAUGAACAAUUAGCAUCUCCUAAUUGUGCAACUAUUUAAUUUUGGUUUCCUCAACCAAGGAGUUAAUCCCUUUCUGAGGGCAGGUACUGUCAACUUCUUUUGAUUUUUCUACACUGCAUGUGGCCAUCCCAGAUAACUCACUAACAAUAAAUUCUUGAUGACAUGACUCUACAUGGUAAGACGGCACUACUCACUUGCCAAGAGCCAAACAGAUAUUUUGGAAUCAUUUCCCAGAUAGUGAUAAAAAAUGGGCACAGACCAUUUGUAAUCUUUCAUCCCAUCUUCCUUUUGACUAGUGUCAUCCCUGUAAACCAUGAGUGAUCAGGAUUACAUCUCUACAUUCAGCAGGAGUAGAAUAGAAUUUCCAUUUGCACACAAAACUGACUCACUGAGAGCAAUUUAGUGAUCUCAGUAGAUGGGCCUGCUGCAUGGAAAGGCAGCCAACAGAUGGGGAGUGUCCCUAUCUUAGCCAGAGGAGGGGAAAGUAUGGGAUUCAAUCUGUUUCUUUAAAAGCUGAAGGAUAAACUGAAGAUGAUGUUCAUAAAAACUGUAUUUCCAUUGUUAAGGAGAAAAAUAGAUAGGUAAGCUCAGCCCUCUUUUGAUAAAAGUUGAACAGAGAGGUGAAAAAGGGAAUCCAUUUGUUUAUGCACUUAUCCUAAAGAGAACAUUGAAAGUCAAGGGGGUAUGUCCAGUGGUUUGCAAAGUGGUGUCUCCAGGGGACAUUUACAGUCAAUGUCAUCUACAGAAAGUUGCUGUCUUUGCUAUAGUGAAGGGCAAAUCAUCUCCCAAUUGCGCUGCUUUUCAAGAUUCCAUGAGGAGCUCUACUCUUGAAAAUUUCUGAAUCAAAAUAGAAUCUUAAGGAGUCUAAUUCUAAAUACAAACUUCAUGUGUAAGAUUCUCGCCAUGGCUGUAUGGCAGGUUUUUAAAGAAAGUAUGAGAAUGGUGUAUUUUAUCCAAGUGCUUGUUGCUGUUUUGCUCACUGGUGUCCUAAGCACCUAGAAAAGUCCUUGGCAGUUUUUAGGUGCACAAUAAGUAUUUAAUUUUAUUAUUCCUAAAUUAUUGGUUCGAUGAUUGGGUGUAUACAAGUGCAUAUGUGGAUAUGUGCAUUUGAAUGGAGAGAAAGAAAAAGUACAUGCUUACUCUCUGUGCUAUAAUGUCUCAAAUAUUAAAUCAU